UUCUCAUCUACUGCUCUGGAGGGGAGGAGGGAAGACUUCCUUAUGGGUAAGUUAAGGAAGAGGGAAGUAGGCAUACUCAGCUCACUUCACCCUUUUUCUUUUCCAGGUAGCCUGCCUACAGAGAACAAGGGUUCGUUUUAUUUCCUGCCUGCUCCCAGAGAGGAGGUUAUGGUGUUCCAGAAUGUUCUGUGUCUGGAUGAGGAUGCCUGCCUUAAUUCUGGCUCAGUAUUGAGCGAUGCUGUGUCUCCUCUAUUGCACAAGUGAAACGAGUGUCUCGCAUCCCGCUGCCUCUCUCCGUACUUAAUUCCAUUUGGAAUUCAGUUUCUCUGCCAAUCACUGCACCCAAUUGGCAGAACUUGAAUCACAUCUGGAACCCAGCUUUGCAGCCUCUGAGCCUGGAAAACACACCCAAGGAGGAUGGAAAAGAUGUUAGGCAAGUCAAUCUCAAGUAUCAUGCAAACCCUUUAAUAGAAUUUCUCCUUUGCUUCAGCAUUUUCUCCCUGUUCACAUGAAGUAUUACUUC
RNAcentral lists this long non-coding RNA (523 nucleotides) under Canis lupus familiaris (dog). Its description in RNAcentral is "lncRNA (ENSCAFG00040011935.1)". The record is from RNAcentral. Lineage: Eukaryota; Metazoa; Chordata; Mammalia; Carnivora; Canidae.